This 1501-nucleotide ribosomal RNA is filed under the name Aeropyrum pernix. Its description in RNAcentral is "16S rRNA". It matches the Rfam family "Archaeal small subunit ribosomal RNA". The record is from RNAcentral. Lineage: Archaea; Thermoproteati; Thermoproteota; Thermoprotei; Acidilobales; Acidilobaceae.
ACUCCGGUUGAUCCUGCCGGACCCGACCGCUAUCGGGGUAGGGCUAAGCCAUGGGAGUCGAACGCCCCGCCGCUGCGGGGCGUGGCGGACGGCUGAGUAACACGUGGCUAACCUACCCUCGGGACGGGGAUAACCCCUCGGGAAACUGGGGCUAAUCCCCGAUAGGCGGGGGGUGCCUGGAAGGGUCCUCCGCCGAAAGGGGCCGCGGGGGGUUAUCGCCCGCGGUCCGCCCGAGGAUGGGGCUGCGGCCCAUCACGGUAGUUGGCGGGGUAAUGGCCCGCCAAGCCUACGACGGGUAGGGGCCGUGAGAGCGGGAGCCCCCAGAUGGGCACUGAGACAAGGGCCCAGGCCCUACGGGGCGCACCAGGCGCGAAAACUCCGCAAUGCGGGCAACCGUGACGGGGCUACCCCGAGUGCCCCCCUUGGGGGGGCUUUUCCCCGCUGUAAGUAGGCGGGGGAAUAAGCGGGGGGCAAGACUGGUGUCAGCCGCCGCGGUAAUACCAUCCCCGCGAGCGGUCGGGGUGCUUACUGGGCCUAAAGCGCCCGUAGCCGGCUCGACAAGUCCCCGCCUAAAGCCCCGGGCUCAACCCGGGGAGUGGCGGGGAUACUGUCGGGCUAGGGGGCGGGAGAGGCCGAGGGUACUCCCGGGGUAGGGGCGAAAUCCAUUAAUCCCGGGAGGACCACCAGUGGCGAAGGCGCUCGGCUGGAACGCGCCCGACGGUGAGGGGCGAAAGCCGGGGGAGCGAACCGGAUUAGAUACCCGGGUAGUCCCGGCUGUAAACGAUGCGGGCUAGGUGUUGGGCGGGCGUGCGAGCCCGCCCAGUGCCGCAGGGAAGCCGUUAAGCCCGCCGCCUGGGGAGUACGGCCGCAAGGCUGAAACUUAAAGGAAUUGGCGGGGGAGCACCACAAGGGGUGGAGCCUGCGGCUUAAUUGGAGUCAACGCCGGGAACCUCCACCGGGGGCGACAGCAGGAUGACGGCCAGGCUGAAGGCCUUGCCCGAUGCGCUGAGGGGAGGUGCAUGGCCGUCGCCAGCUCGUGCCGUGAGGUGUCCUGUUAAGUCAGGCAACGAGCGAGACCCCCGCCCCUAGUUGCCAUCCCCGGGGCGACCCGGGGGGCACACUAGGGGGACUGCCGCCGCUAAGGCGGAGGAAGGAGGGGGCAACGGCAGGUCAGCAUGCCCCUAAACCCCCGGGCUGCACGCGGGCUACAAUGGCGGGGACAGCGGGUGCCGACCCCGAAAGGGGGAGGCAAUCCCUCAAACCCCGCCUCAGUUGGGAUCGAGGGCUGCAACUCGCCCUCGUGAACGUGGAAUCCCUAGUAACCGCGCGUCAUCAUCGCGCGGUGAAUACGUCCCUGCUCCUUACACACACUGCCCGUCGCUCCACCCGAGGGGGGAGGGGGUGAGGCCCUCUCCGCCGGGAGGGGGUCGAACCCCCUCCCCCCGAGGGGGGAGAAGUCGUAACAAGGUAGCCGUAGGGGAACCUGCGGCUGGAUCACCUC